This 253-nucleotide ribosomal RNA is filed under the name uncultured bacterium. Its description in RNAcentral is "partial 16S ribosomal RNA". It matches the Rfam family "Bacterial small subunit ribosomal RNA", at positions 524 to 776 of the family's 1533-position model. The record is from RNAcentral.
UACGUAGGGCGCAAGCGUUAUCCGGAAUUAUUGGGCGUAAAGAGCUCGUAGGCGGUCUGUCGCGUCUGGUGUGAAAUCCCGAGGCUCAACCUCGGGCUUGCAUCGGGUACGGGCAGACUAGAGUGCGGUAGGGGAGACUGGAAUUCCUGGUGUAGCGGUGGAAUGCGCAGAUAUCAGGAGGAACACCGAUGGCGAAGGCAGGUCUCUGGGCCGCAACUGACGCUGAGGAGCGAAAGCAUGGGGAGCGAACAGG